AAUAGGUGCCCGUACCGCAAACCGACACAGGUAGUCAAGAUGAGAAUUCUAAGGUGAGCGAGCGAACUCUCGUUAAGGAACUCGGCAAAAUGACCCCGUAACUUCGGGAGAAGGGGUGCUCUUUAGGGUUAACGCCCAGAAGAGCCGCAGUGAAUAGGCCCAAGCGACUGUUUAUCAAAAACACAGGUCUCUGCUAAACCGUAAGGUGAUGUAUAGGGGCUGACGCCUGCCCGGUGCUGGAAGGUUAAGAGGAGUGGUUAGCUUCUGCGAAGCUACGAAUCGAAGCCCCAGUAAACGGCGGCCGUAACUAUAACGGUCCUAAGGUAGCGAAAUUCCUUGUCGGGUAAGUUCCGACCCGCACGAAAGGCGUAACGAUUUGGGCACUGUCUCAACGAGAGACUCGGUGAAAUCAUAGUACCUGUGAAGAUGCAGGUUACCCGCGACAGGACGGAAAGACCCCGUGGAGCUUUACUGUAGCCUGAUAUUGAAAUUCGGCACAGCUUGUACAGGAUAGGUAGGAGCCUUUGAAACGUGAGCGCUAGCUUACGUGGAGGCGCUGGUGGGAUACUACCCUAGCUGUGUUGGCUUUCUAACCCGCACCACUUAUCGUGGUGGGAGACAGUGUCAGGCGGGCAGUUUGACUGGGGCGGUCGCCUCCUAAAAGGUAACGGAGGCGCUCAAAGGUUCCCUCAGAAUGGUUGGAAAUCAUUCAUAGAGUGUAAAGGCAUAAGGGAGCUUGACUGCGAGACCUACAAGUCGAGCAGGGUCGAAAGACGGACUUAGUGAUCCGGUGGUUCCGCAUGGAAGGGCCAUCGCUCAACGGAUAAAAGCUACCCCGGGGAUAACAGGCUUAUCUCCCCCAAGAGUUCACAUCGACGGGGAGGUUUGGCACCUCGAUGUCGGCUCAUCGCAUCCUGGGGCUGUAGUCGGUCCCAAGGGUUGGGCUGUUCGCCCAUUAAAGCGGUACGCGAGCUGGGUUCAGAACGUCGUGAGACAGUUCGGUCCCUAUCCGUCGUGGGCGUAGGAAAUUUGAGAGGAGCUGUCCUUAGUACGAGAGGACCGGGAUGGACAUACCUCUGGUGUACCAGUUGUCGUGCCAACGGCAUAGCUGGGUAGCUAUGUGUGGACGGGAUAAGUGCUGAAAGCAUCUAAGCAUGAAGCCCCCCUCAAGAUGAGAUUUCCCAACUUCGGUUAUAAGAUCCCUCAAAGAUGAUGAGGUUAAUAGGUUCGAGGUGGAAGCAUGGUGACAUGUGGAGCUGACGAAUACUAA
Molecule: ribosomal RNA, 1270 nt
Filed under: Staphylococcus aureus
Lineage: Bacteria; Bacillati; Bacillota; Bacilli; Caryophanales; Staphylococcaceae
Description: partial 23S ribosomal RNA
Rfam family: Bacterial large subunit ribosomal RNA
Source: RNAcentral